AGAAUCAACGCUGGCGGCGUGCCUAACACAUGCAAGUCGAACGAGAAAGUGGAGCAAUCCAUUAGUAAAGUGGCGCACGGGUGAGUAACACGUGACUAACCUACCCUUGAGUGGGGGAUAACCUAGAGGAAAUCUGGGCUAAUACCGCAUAAUACCUUCGGGUCAAAGGAGCAAUUCGCUUAAGGAGGGGGUCGCGGCCGAUUAGUUAGUUGGCGGGGUAAUGGCCCACCAAGACUAUGAUCGGUA
Molecule: ribosomal RNA, 246 nt
Filed under: uncultured bacterium
Lineage: Bacteria
Description: partial small subunit ribosomal RNA
Rfam family: Bacterial small subunit ribosomal RNA
Source: RNAcentral